GCUGAUUCUUCCCGCACCGGCCUCAGCCUGCCCUCUCUCUCUCUCUCUCUCUCUCUCCCCCUUCCUUCCUCGAGCAGCUCCACGCGCGACGCCAUCCCAAUGCUCUCCACGCCUCAUUGGACCCCAGGAAGCAAUCGCGCUGAUCGGGGCCGCCGCCUAGCGGUGCCGUGCGGGUUAGGGCGCGAGGCUGGCGCUAGCUCGAGCUCGCGGCUGCCGCAAGGUGCUGGAAAGGUGAGGAGUAUGUCCUCGAUACGAUUUGGAUUUGUUAGAAGCCAGCUCCUCUGUUCUGGCACCAUUUGCUAGGAUUUUGUUAUGGUGUUUAUUAGGCAGCCAUGAAAAGUCUGAUAUGCUUCGAACAGAAGAUGGACAUCAGACACAAUGGGAAAUGGGUGCAACUGCAAGGAGAACAGAUUAACAUCACAUCAGUGGUCAGCAACAAGAUCCAUUAACACCACGCAAGGUCCACAAAAGCCUUUAGCGGCCAUGGGUGUUCCGCAGCGGAGGCAGCAGGUGCGCCGGCGGCCAGAAAGGUGGCUACUGUCGUUCUCGAUGAUGAAAUGGUACCGCUUCACGCAGACCGGGUGUCCACUCCAGCCUACAACCAAACAAACAAAUCAGACGCAUGAUUCCAUUGCAGAUGCCGUGUUGUUGUAUGUAACAGUGUGCAAGUAUAUGACAAUUCAAUCAAUCAUUCUAACGGGCGGUUGCACACUGAAAGCAACAGCCUAACGAUUGGGAUUGGCUGAUACGACGAAAACUAGCAGAUAUUUCAGUGGGAAAAAAACUGCCCGCAAAAAUCAAUAAAAUUUCUAAGAAAUAAGACAGUCGUUGGAUUUCAAAAACUUAAAUCGACGACAAGAAAACAGUAACAGAGGAGCAGAUCGUAAGAAGAAAAAAACGAACGGGUUCGUCCAUUGAAUCCAAAACAAAAAAAAAUCGGAGGAAAAAAGGACGAAAAAGUGAGGAAAGCAACUCACCCACGACUCUGCACUGGUCACAAUACACAGAUCGGGAUCGGAGCACAUCCUCCUCAACGACGUUGAGCUCUACCCCGCCGCCGCUCUCUUCCUCCCCGGCCUCCCCGACCCUUAGGGACACCCUCCAGAUCAGCAGGUGCGGCGGGGCGGCCGCGGCCGCCGGAGAGAAGAUGGACGGCAACGGGAGCAGCCUCGCAUGCUUUGCGAGGAACCCUCUCACCGCCUCCCUGAACGUCCCGGCCGCCCCGCAGUCUCCGGCCGCCGGGAACCUCGCGAAGUCCCUGGCCUCGACCCGCGCCCUCGCCCUCUUCAGCGGCCGGCCGUUGACCACCAUCUCCCCCUCCGCCGCCGUCGUCAGAUCCCCUCAGAUCUGCAACGCACCGUCGUCUUCCUCGUCGUCGAUUAACCGGAUCGGAACUCAGGUUAGGGUUUGCGGCGGCGGCGGUAGCUGCGAGAUAACGAGGAGGAUGGUGAUGGGGUCGAUUCCUUCGAGGUGAAGCACGAUCAGGUGCGCCUGGUCUUUGUGCACCAGAGGGGACGGAGCAAAUGUCGGGCCCACGUAAUCGUGCGUGGCGUACAGUGGAGUGGGUCUAUGCAUGCUAUGGUGGAAUGGGCUCGUCAGGUCGUGGCAGAGCGCUAACCAGGGUUAAUCGUGGGUGGGGUGGGUGGUUGGGUUCGAGAGCUUUCCGAAAAGGAGGCGCGAGAAAUGGGAGGGAAUAAAGGAUCGGGGCAGUGUCGUCAUUUUGUAUCCAUGGCUCGAUGAGAGGUCCAGUACGGCACAUCAAAGUGAUCCUGUGUAGGGACAAAUUACACAACUGCCCUCAUAGUCCGUGGACCCUAGAAUGCUUUUAUUUCGAUUCGUUGUGUACAGACCACAGAAUCCCUCCACUCGAAACGUGUCCACUGUAAUCUUUAUAGGCGACUUUCUCAAGUCACAGAGACAAGUGAUACGGUAUUUUUUAAGUAUACCCUUCU
Molecule: RNA transcript, 1952 nt
Organism: Zea mays
Lineage: Eukaryota; Viridiplantae; Streptophyta; Magnoliopsida; Poales; Poaceae
Exons: 5
Source: RefSeq, marked validated